Molecule: transfer RNA, 98 nt
Filed under: Dactylellina haptotyla CBS 200.50
Lineage: Eukaryota; Fungi; Ascomycota; Orbiliomycetes; Orbiliales; Orbiliaceae
Rfam family: tRNA
About the family: Transfer RNA (tRNA) molecules are approximately 80 nucleotides in length. Their secondary structure includes four short double-helical elements and three loops (D, anti-codon, and T loops).
Source: Rfam by way of RNAcentral
GCUCGUAUAGCUCAGCGGUAGAGCGUCUCACUCGUAUCCAGCUCCGGCGGAUUGAGUGUGAUAUGAGAAGGUCCUAGGUUCAAGUCCUAGUUCGAGCA